GAUGAACGCUGGCGGCGUGCCUAAUACAUGCAAGUCGAUCGAACGGACGAGAAGCUUGCUUCUCUGAUGUUAGCGGCGGACGGGUGAGUAACACGUGGAUAACCUACCUAUAAGACUGGGAUAACUUCGGGAAACCGGAGCUAAUACCGGAUGAUAUUUUGAACCGCAUGGUUCAAAAGUGAAAGACGGUCUUGCUGUCACUUAUAGAUGGAUCCGCGCUGCAUUAGCUAGUUGGUAAGGUAACGGCUUACCAAGGCAACGAUGCAUAGCCGACCUGAGAGGGUGAUCGGCCACACUGGAACUGAGACACGGUCCAGACUCCUACGGGAGGCAGCAGUAGGGAAUCUUCCGCAAUGGGCGAAAGCCUGACGGAGCAACGCCGCGUGAGUGAUGAAGGUCUUCGGAUCGUAAAACUCUGUUAUUAGGGAAGAACAUAUGUGUAAGUAACUGUGCACAUCUUGACGGUACCUAAUCAGAAAGCCACGGCUAACUACGU
Molecule: ribosomal RNA, 496 nt
Filed under: uncultured bacterium
Lineage: Bacteria
Description: partial 16S ribosomal RNA
Rfam family: Bacterial small subunit ribosomal RNA
Source: RNAcentral